Molecule: small RNA, 743 nt
Filed under: Pan troglodytes (chimpanzee)
Lineage: Eukaryota; Metazoa; Chordata; Mammalia; Primates; Hominidae
Description: processed transcript
Source: RNAcentral
ACCCUGGGAAGGUGUGAUCACAGCGGAGGUGGGGCCCUGGAGAGGCAGGACCCUGGGAAGGUGUGAUCACAGCGGAGAUGGGCCCUGGAGUGAUGGGGUCACUGAGGAGGUGGAGAUCCCCAGAACUUGGAGCCAGAGAGAGAGGCAGGGCCUUGGUCCUGGCAGCAAGCGGCUGGGCAUCGAUGGCGACCGGGAGGCUGUUCCUCUAACACUACAGAUUAUUUACAGCAAGGGGGCCAUCAGUGGACGAAGUCGCUGGAGCAACCUGGAGAAGGUCUGUACCUCCGUGAACCUCAACAAGGCCUGCCGGAAGCAGGAGGAGCUGGGUGAGUGGGGUGCUCAGCGUGGGGUGUGCAGUAGGGAGGUGCUCUGAGCCUGGCCUGAGUGUCCUUGCCCUUCAGAUUCCAGCAUGGAGGCCCUGACGCUAAACCUGACAGAAGUGGUGAAAAGGCAGAACUCCAAAUCCAAGAAGGGCUUUAACCAGAUUAGCACAUCGCAGAUCAAAGUGGACAAGGUGCAGAUCAUCGGCUCCAACAGCUGCCCCUUUGCUGUGUGCCUGGACCAGGAUGAGAGAAAGAUCCUGCAGAGUGUAGUCAGAUGUGAGGUCUCACCGUGCUACAAGCCGGAGAAGAGCGACCUCUCCUCGCCACCCCAGACGCCUCCUGACCUGCCGGCCCAGGCCGCACCUGAUCUCUGCUCCCUUCUCUGCCUGCCCAUCAUGACUUUCAGUGGAGCUCUGCCCU